CAGGGGGAAUGGGAAGAAGGGCAACCUUCGGAAUGAAAAUAAAUGAUAUAGUUUUAUAAAAACACUAAUUUAAAAGAAUGAAAAUCAUAGUAAUCAUAUGUUUAUUUGUAUGUUUCAUUUUUUCUUUUUUCUUUUUUUGUUUCUAUGCUUCCAUGGUUCAAACUGCAAGACUUUUCACAAGCUUGGCAAUUAAUCUACCGUGGUCACAUUUCCAAAAUAAUGACACCUGCUCACCCAGCAACUAUCAAUGUUAAUGCCCUACGACUGAACUAUAGGUGAGUACACAUUUACUGUACUUGUAAUUUUA
RNAcentral lists this long non-coding RNA (307 nucleotides) under Rattus norvegicus (Norway rat). RNAcentral's name for it is "long non-coding RNA NONRATT031529". The record is from RNAcentral. Lineage: Eukaryota; Metazoa; Chordata; Mammalia; Rodentia; Muridae.